Molecule: ribosomal RNA, 173 nt
Filed under: Scinax nebulosus (Spix's snouted treefrog)
Lineage: Eukaryota; Metazoa; Chordata; Amphibia; Anura; Hylidae
Description: partial 16S large subunit ribosomal RNA
Source: RNAcentral
ACGUGAUCUGAGUUCAGACCGGAGUAAUCCAGGUCGGUUUCUAUCUAUAAUACCGCUUUUUCUAGUACGAAAGGACCGAAAAAACAUGGCCCAUGCUAUUGUAAGCCAUCAUCAGUAAACUAUGAUUUCAACUUAAUUUCCUACUGACCUUCAACUGCCCUUAAAAUAAAAGG